Molecule: long non-coding RNA, 308 nt
Organism: Olea europaea var. sylvestris
Lineage: Eukaryota; Viridiplantae; Streptophyta; Magnoliopsida; Lamiales; Oleaceae
Exons: 3
Source: RefSeq, a predicted model, not a curated record
AUGGUUUAAUUUUGAGAUGGCUUAUUGCAAUACCAAUCAUUUGCGAAUACAAUUCUUUCGAAGACAGAAAACCAGUGAAAAAGGUGGGAGCUUUUUGUUGACUCUCGCUGACUAUCUGCAUUGUGGAACUCCUCAUUUGUAUGAAGCUUGGACAUGGAUUGUUUCCUAAUUCCAUGCCCAAGUGGUUGGUGAUUUUCUGGAAUCUGUUGGGAUUGGACUUGUGAUAUUCUUGGCUACAUGGUCAUGGCAAUUGCACAGAUCAAUGCUGGAGAAGGCGCCAAUAAGUUCACAUGGAUGCAAUGUAGAUG